Molecule: small nucleolar RNA, 108 nt
Organism: Capsella rubella
Lineage: Eukaryota; Viridiplantae; Streptophyta; Magnoliopsida; Brassicales; Brassicaceae
Rfam family: Plant small nucleolar RNA R71
About the family: R71 is a member of the C/D box family of snoRNAs containing the C (UGAUGA) and D (CUGA) box motifs. Multiple nearly identical copies of this snoRNA have been identified in Arabidopsis, and it is thought to function as a 2'-O-ribose methylation guide for 18S ribosomal RNA.
Source: Rfam
AAGCCAUGGUAGGGGCACUGAGACUUAUAACGUUUUAAUCGCUCCCAAUUUUUGCAAAGAGUUUCACCAUUCUUCUGAGUGAACCCGGAAAUCUCGUUAUCCAGACGU